RNAcentral lists this ribosomal RNA (253 nucleotides) under uncultured bacterium. RNAcentral's name for it is "partial 16S ribosomal RNA". It matches the Rfam family "Bacterial small subunit ribosomal RNA", at positions 524 to 776 of the family's 1533-position model. The record is from RNAcentral.
UACGGGGGGGGUAAGCGUUGUUCGGAAUUACUGGGCGUAAAGGGCUCGUAGGCGGCCAACUAAGUCAUACGUGAAAUCCCUCAGCUUAACUGGGGAACUGCGUGUGAUACUGGAUAGCUAGAGUUCGGCAGAGGGAAGCGGAAUUUCGGGUGUAGCGGUGAAAUGCGUAGAUAUCCGAAGGAACAUCAGUGGCGAAAGCGGCUUCCUGGACCAGAACUGACGAUCAGGCACGAAAGCGUGGGGAGCAAACAGG